Molecule: ribosomal RNA, 455 nt
Filed under: uncultured bacterium
Lineage: Bacteria
Description: bacterial SSU rRNA
Rfam family: Bacterial small subunit ribosomal RNA
Source: RNAcentral
CGCUGGCGGCGUGCCUAACACAUGCAAGUCGAGCGAGAAAGCAGCUUCGGCUGUGAGUAAAGCGGCGCACGGGUGAGUAACACGUGGGCAAUCUUCCGUUGGGAUUGGGAUAACCUGCCGAAAGGCGGGCUAAUACCGGAUACGUUCCUUGGGGCUUCGGCUUUGAGGAAGAAACAAUGCUCGCAAGGGUGUUGCCCGACGAUGAGCCUGCGUCCCAUCAGGUAGUUGGUGAGGUAACGGCUCAUCAAGCCAAGGACGGGUAGCUGGUCUGAGAGGAUGAUCAGCCACACUGGAACUGAGACACGGUCCAGACUCCUACGGGAGGCAGCAGUGGGGAAUUUUGGUCAAUGGGCGCAAGCCUGAACCAGCAACGCCGCGUGGGUGAUGAAGGCCUUCGGGUUGUAAAGCCCUGUCGGACGGGACGAAAGAACGGCGUAACGAACCGGAAUGACGGU